This 382-nucleotide unclassified non-coding RNA is filed under the name uncultured bacterium. Its description in RNAcentral is "contains 16S-23S intergenic spacer region". The record is from RNAcentral.
UCCUUCUUAUCGAAGGCAGUUUUCGAAGAGUGCAUCCCUUGCGGGAUUAGCAACAUCGAAUAGGGGUUGCGCUCGUUGCGGGACUUAACCCAACAUCUCACGACACGAGCUGACGACAACCAUGCAGCACCUCUGCGGACUCCCUUGCGGGUCAGCCACUGUUUCCAACAGCUUACCAUCCGUAGUUCAAGCCCAGGUAAGGUUCUUCGCGUUGCGUCGAAUUGAACCACAUGCUCCACCGCUUGUGCGGGCCCCCGUCAAUUCCUUUGAGUUUCAGACUUGCGACCGUACUCCCCAGGCGGGAUACUUAAUGCGUUAGCUUCGCCACAGGGGGAUUUAACACCCCCCACAGCAAGUAUCCAUCGUUUGCGGCGUGGACUAC